Molecule: ribosomal RNA, 409 nt
Filed under: uncultured bacterium
Lineage: Bacteria
Description: bacterial SSU rRNA
Rfam family: Bacterial small subunit ribosomal RNA
Source: RNAcentral
GGGGAAUAUUGCACAAUGGGCGAAAGCCUGAUGCAGCGACGCCGCGUGAGGGAUGACGGCCUUCGGGUUGUAAACCUCUUUCAGCAGGGAAGAAGGCCUUCGGGUGGACGGUACCUGCAGAAGAAGCGCCGGCUAACUACGUGCCAGCAGCCGCGGUAAUACGUAGGGCGCAAGCGUUGUCCGGAAUUAUUGGGCGUAAAGAGCUCGUAGGCGGUUUGUCGCGUCUGGUGUGAAAUCCCGAGGCUCAACUUCGGGCUUGCAUCGGGUACGGGCAGACUAGAGUACUGUAGGGGAGACUGGAAUUCCUGGUGUAGCGGUGGAAUGCGCAGAUAUCAGGAGGAACACCGAUGGCGAAGGCAGGUCUCUGGGCAGUCACUGACGCUGAGGAGCGAAAGCAUGGGGAGCGAAC